CGGCGUGCAUAACACAUUCAAGUCGAACGGAGUGUAGCAAUACACUUAGUGGCGGACGGGUGAGUAACGCGUGAGCAAUCUACCCUUGGGUACGGAAUAACAACCGGAAACAGUUGCUAAUACCGUAAUAAAACAGCAGUAUCGCAUGGUACAACUGUACAAAGAGAAAUUGCCAAAGGAUGAGCUUGCGUCCGAUUAGAUAGUUGGCGGGGUAACGGCCCACCAAGUCGACGAUCAGUAGCCGGACUGAGAGGUUGAACGGCCACAUUGGAACUGAGAUACGGUCCAGACUCCUACGGGAGGCAGCAGGUGGGGAAUAUUGGGCAAUGGGGGAAACCCUGACCCAGCAACGCCGCGUGAAGGAAGAAGGCCUUCGGGUUGUAAACUUCUUUUAGCAGGGACGAAGGACGUGACGGUACCUGCAGAAAAAGCAACGGCUAACUACGUG
Molecule: ribosomal RNA, 448 nt
Filed under: uncultured bacterium
Lineage: Bacteria
Description: bacterial SSU rRNA
Rfam family: Bacterial small subunit ribosomal RNA
Source: RNAcentral